Molecule: unclassified non-coding RNA, 304 nt
Filed under: uncultured fungus
Lineage: Eukaryota; Fungi
Description: partial contains small subunit ribosomal RNA, internal transcribed spacer 1, and 5.8S ribosomal RNA
Rfam family: Eukaryotic small subunit ribosomal RNA (bases 1-73)
Source: RNAcentral
CCAAACUUGGUCAUUUAGAGGAAGUAAAAGUCGUAACAAGGUUUCCGUAGGUGAACCUGCGGAAGGAUCAUUACCGAGUGCGGGUUCGAACGAGCCCAACCUCCCACCCGUGUUUACCGUUACCGCGUUGCCUCGGCGGGCCCACUGGGGCCUGGUCCCGGUCGCCGGGGGGCUCCUGCCCCCGGGCCCGCGCCCGCCGAAGCGCCCUGGAACCCUGUCUGAACAGUGAGUCUGAGUGAGAUAUUUAAUCAUUAAAACUUUCAACAACGGAUCUCUUGGUUCCGGCAUCGAUGAAGAACGCAGC